RNAcentral lists this ribosomal RNA (140 nucleotides) under Penicillium commune. RNAcentral describes it as "partial 28S ribosomal RNA". The record is from RNAcentral. Lineage: Eukaryota; Fungi; Ascomycota; Eurotiomycetes; Eurotiales; Aspergillaceae.
UCAAGCCCGGCUUGUGUGUUGGGCCCCGUCCUCCGAUCUCCGGGGGACGGGCCCGAAAGGCAGCGGCGGCACCGCGUCCGGUCCUCGAGCGUAUGGGGCUUUGUCACCCGCUCUGUAGGCCCGGCCGGCGCUUGCCGAUC